This 80-nucleotide unclassified non-coding RNA is filed under the name soil metagenome. Its description in RNAcentral is "partial internal transcribed spacer 1". The record is from RNAcentral.
UGAUUUUUAAUUAUUUGUGAACGGUACUACGAACAAAGCAAAAAAUAUUAUAUAGCUCAAAAAAAAAAUAUUAAAAUCAA